Molecule: ribosomal RNA, 497 nt
Filed under: uncultured bacterium
Lineage: Bacteria
Description: partial 16S ribosomal RNA
Rfam family: Bacterial small subunit ribosomal RNA
Source: RNAcentral
GAUGAACGCUGGCGGCGUGCCUAAUACAUGCAAGUCGAGCGAACAGAUGAGGAGCUUGCUCCUCUGACGUUAGCGGCGGACGGGUGAGUAACACGUGGAUAACCUACCUAUAAGACUGGGAUAACUUCGGGAAACCGGAGCUACUACCGGAUAAUAUAUUGAACCGCAUGGUUCAAUAGUGAAAGACGGUUUUGCUGUCACUUAUAGAUGGAUCCGCGCCGCAUUAGCUAGUUGGUAAGGUAACGGCUUACCAAGGCAACGAUGCGUAGCCGACCUGAGAGGGGGAUCGGCCACACUGGAACUGAGACACGGUCCAGACUCCUACGGGAGGCAGCAGUAGGGAAUCUUCCGCAAUGGGCGAAAGCCUGACGGAGCAACGCCGCGUGAGUGAUGAAGGUCUUCGGAUCGUAAAACUCUGUUAUUAGGGAAGAACAAAUGUGUAAGUAACUAUGCACGUCUUGACGGUACCUAAUCAGAAAGCCACGGCUAACUACGUG